AGCAGGCGCGAAAACUUUACAAUGCCGGCAACGGCGAUAAGGGAACCUCGAGUGCCAGGUUACAAAUCUGGCUGUCGUGAUGCCUAAAAAGCAUUGCAUAACAAGGGCCGGGCAAGACCGGUGCCAGCCGCCGCGGUAACACCGGCGGCUCGAGUGGUAACCGUUAUUAUUGGGUCUAAAGGGUCUGUAGCCGGCCGGGUAAGUCUCUUGGGAAAUCUGGCAGCUUAACUGUCAGGCUUUCAGGAGAUACUGCCUGGCUCGAGGCCGGGAGAGGUGAGAGGUACUUCAGGGGUAGGGGUGAAAUCUUGUAAUCCUUGAAGGACCACCAGUGGCGAAGGCGUCUCACCAGAACGGACCUGACGGCAAGGGACGAAAGCUAGGGGCACGAACCGGAUUAGAUACCCGGGUAGUCCUAGCCGUAAACGAUACUCGCUAGGUGUCGGCCACGGUGCGACCGUGGUCGGUGCCGUAGGGAAGCCGUGAAGCGAGCCGCCUGGGAAGUACGGCCGCAAGGCUGAAACUUAAAGGAAUUGGCGGGGGAGCAC
This 545-nucleotide ribosomal RNA is filed under the name uncultured archaeon. RNAcentral describes it as "bacterial SSU rRNA". It matches the Rfam family "Archaeal small subunit ribosomal RNA", at positions 334 to 879 of the family's 1478-position model. The record is from RNAcentral.